UGGGGAAUAUUGCACAAUGGGGGAAACCCUGAUGCAGCGACGCCGCGUGAGCGAAGAAGGUUUUCGAAUCGUAAAGCUCUGUCCUAUGAGAAGAUAAUGACGGUAUCAUAGGAGGAAGCCCCGGCUAAAUACGUGCCAGCAGCCGCGGUAAUACGUAUGGGGCGAGCGUUGUCCGGAAUUAUUGGGCGUAAAGGGUACGUAGGCGGUCUAUUAAGUCAGGUGUGAAAGCGUGAGGCUUAACCUCAUUAAGCACUUGAAACUGAUAGACUUGAGUGAAGGAGAGGAAAGUGGAAUUCCUAGUGUAGUGGUGAAAUGCGUAGAUAUUAGGAGGAAUACCGGUGGCGAAGGCGACUUUCUGGACUUUUACUGACGCUCAGGUACGAAAGCGUGGGGAGCAAACAGG
Molecule: ribosomal RNA, 403 nt
Filed under: Verrucomicrobiota bacterium
Lineage: Bacteria; Pseudomonadati; Verrucomicrobiota
Description: Verrucomicrobia bacterium partial 16S ribosomal RNA
Rfam family: Bacterial small subunit ribosomal RNA
Source: RNAcentral